UAGGCUGCAACUCGCCACAUGAAGCUGGAAUUGCUAGUAAUCACAGGUCAGCAUACUGUGGUGAAUACGUUCCCGGGCCUUGUACACACCGCCCGUCACACCAUGAGAGUUGAGAAUACCCGAAGUCCAUGUCAAAGUGGCCGAAGGUAGGCUUGAUGAUUGGGGUGAAGUCGUAACAAGGUAUC
Molecule: ribosomal RNA, 185 nt
Filed under: uncultured bacterium
Lineage: Bacteria
Description: partial 16S ribosomal RNA
Rfam family: Bacterial small subunit ribosomal RNA
Source: RNAcentral